This 743-nucleotide ribosomal RNA is filed under the name Shigella flexneri 2a. Its description in RNAcentral is "partial 23S ribosomal RNA". It matches the Rfam family "Bacterial large subunit ribosomal RNA", at positions 20 to 766 of the family's 2925-position model. Lineage: Bacteria; Pseudomonadati; Pseudomonadota; Gammaproteobacteria; Enterobacterales; Enterobacteriaceae. The record is from RNAcentral.
CAAGGAGAAUGCCUUGGCACUGGGAGCCGAUGAAAGACGUGAUAAGCUGCGAUAAGCUUCGGGGAGCUGCAAAUAAGCAUUGAUCCGGAGAUUUCUGAAUGAGGAAACUCACCUGGGUUCAUACUCAGGUACAAUACACUGAAAUUCAAAAUAGGUGUAUUGAGGGAACCGCCUGAACUGAAACAUCUAAGUAGGGCGAGGAAGAGACAUCAAACGAGAUUCCGUAAGUAGUGGCGAGCGAACGCGGAAGAGGGCAAACCGAGAGUAGAAAUACUUUCGGGGUACGGACUGCUUUUAAGACUUAAUCUGUUAACCGAACGGCAUGGGAAGGCCGGUCAGAGAGUGUGAGAACCACGUAGGUGAAAACGGAGAGAGCUGCGCAGGAUCCAGAGUACGGCCAGACACGUGAAACCUGGUCGGAAUACGGGGGGACCACCCUCCAACCCUAAAUACUACCCAGUGACCGAUAGCGUAUAGUACUGUGAAGGAAAGGUGAAAAGCACCCCGGGAGGGGAGUGAAAAAGAACCUGAAACCCUGUGCCUACAAGCACCUAGAGCGCGUCAAAGCGUGAUAGGGUACUUUUUGUAGAACGGUCCGGCGAGCGAUUGUAUGCAGCAAGGUUAAGGACUUAAGGUCUGGAGCCGAAGCGAAAGCGAGUUUGAAAAGGGCGUUAAGUUGCAUAUAAUGGGCCCGAAACCGGGUGACCUACCCAUAGUCAGGUUGAAGUGGAAGUAAAAUUCCA